UGGGGGGCAGAGGAGCUGCUCUCCAGACAAAUCCAUACGGAUCUCUUCUGCGCAUUCCCAACUACGCUCACAGCUGGAGACAAGUAAAGCUAUGGCAUGAAGGGUGUUUGCCCAGGCCAGAUGCCACAUUGUCCGUGCAUCCCUAAGACCUUCAUAAUGCUGAGGGAAACAUACUGCUCCAGAGCAACACGUGGAUGUCCCUAGUGUCUCCUCCAUAUAUUUAGUCACAUGCAUACAUCCCUUACGAAGAUGUAUAUUCCUCAUACUUUUCACAAACGGAGUGUGUGUGACAGAUAAUUAAAAGACUAAUUCCCCAAGGAAUUCAUGAACCUGUCACCUGUAGGAUAGGUCACAGUACAAUUAUUAAGGGAUGUUUUCAUUUUUGUGUUGUACAAAACCCAACAAAACUGAAAUACCUUUUCCGCAUACCUUGCCAGCUAAUAGAACCAAGAAAAAAAAAAGGUUAUGCUUGACUAAAUUCAGGAAAACUUCAGUUAGAGAUUGAAGGAGAGGCGGAAGCACACAGAAAAGGAUUAAACAGAAUUAUUUUUUCUGGUCAGCAAAACAAUUAUACCUUUUUUUCCUUAAGAACCAGUUCAUUAUCCUCUUAGCGAUCCAAUCCUCAAAUUUUAUACAGUGCUACAGCAGAUAACAGAUUACAGAAGGAUGACAAAGUUUGUGAAUGGGCCUCCACUAAGAAAUAAGCUUAAAAUAUUUUUAAUUUAAGUUUUCUAAAGAAAUAUCUGUUUUAUGUGGUAGAACAAAAGCAAGAAAACACUAAUACAUUUAGCACAGCACAAUUUCAGUAGAUAAAGAUGUAAUUAAAAAGCAAUGCUACACCUGAAAUAAAUUCACUUUCUCAGUAGGUUAAAACCCACUGAAAUAAAGGCUGGUGGAGGAGAGAUAGGGAAUGCUGCAAAGGUUUCUGGGGGACAGCAGGAAAUAAAAGCUGAAGUAGCAGCAGCUGUGUUGACUGCUUCAAAGCUGGAGGGGGUUAAAAGAAGUAAAAGGCUAAACCCAUGCUUGCCAUCAGCAGAAGCUGAUGAACUUUUCAACAUUGAAAUCUGUGAAAAGGCCACUCCCUGGUGGUCACAGAACUUUGCUGUGUGCCGUCCUGAUAACAGAGACCCACUGGAGAUCCUUUGUAUAUUAGGAUAAGGACUUGCUGUUCUGGAAUGCUCUUUCAGAAGACAAAAAUAGAUAUCCAGGUGGUACUGGGCUCCUUCUAAGGCCAAAGGACGGACUGGGGUUUCAGUGCAGUAUGAGAAAGGAUUUGAGAUGAAUCAGCAAUAUAAAAUAAUGUUUUCACUGUAAUGUGUGUAUAGGACACACAGGAGCUGUAACUGGGCACAUCUCUAACUAUAAAACAGCCCAGCAGGAUGUUACAGUGACUGUGUCUGCUUGCAAAUGAGAUAGUAAGACCAAACAAUUAUAAAAGAACCAUAACAACUUU
Meleagris gallopavo (turkey) is the source of this 1453-nucleotide non-coding RNA. Lineage: Eukaryota; Metazoa; Chordata; Aves; Galliformes; Phasianidae. The record is from RefSeq and is a predicted model, not a curated record.